GAUGAACGCUAGCGACAGGCCUAACACAUGCAAGUCGAGGGGCAGCACGGUGUAGCAAUACGACGGGUGGCGACCGGCGCACGGGUGAGUAACGCGUAUGCAACCUGCCUACUACAAGGGGAUAACCCGUUGAAAGACGGACUAAUACCCUAUAACACAGGGAAUCCGCAUGGAUAUAUUUGUUAAAGAUUUAUCGGUAGUAGAUGGGCAUGCGUUCCAUUAGCUUGUUGGUGAGGUAACGGCUCACCAAGGCAACGAUGGAUAGGGGAACUGAGAGGUUGAUCCCCCACACUGGAACUGAGACACGGUCCAGACUCCUACGGGAGGCAGCAGUGAGGAAUAUUGGUCAAUGGACGAGAGUCUGAACCAGCCAAGUCGCGUGAAGGAAGACGGCCCUACGGGUUGUAAACUUCUUUUGUAAGGGAAUAAAUAGUCUUACGCGCUAAGACGUUGCAGGUACCUUACGAAUAAGGAUCGGCUAACUCCGUG
RNAcentral lists this ribosomal RNA (489 nucleotides) under uncultured bacterium. Its description in RNAcentral is "bacterial SSU rRNA". It matches the Rfam family "Bacterial small subunit ribosomal RNA", at positions 28 to 507 of the family's 1533-position model. The record is from RNAcentral.